Molecule: long non-coding RNA, 675 nt
Organism: Pyrus x bretschneideri (Chinese white pear)
Lineage: Eukaryota; Viridiplantae; Streptophyta; Magnoliopsida; Rosales; Rosaceae
Exons: 2
Source: RefSeq, a predicted model, not a curated record
UAUAAUGCCGGCUAGCAACCGCCGUUGUUGGCGUUGAAUAUAGCUGUCAGAAAGCAUCCUCGCUUCGGUUACUAAAUGGAUAGAUUUGGGAGUUUCUGAUGACUUUGAUCCUCAUCACCUGCCAAUACCAGUGCCAGAGAUGGAUCUACGGCCACCACCGCCAACCUCACCGCUGGGAAUAUCUUAGAUUGAACACUGGAACUUUGUAUGAGGUUUCAUGAAUAUAGGAAGUGUGCUUGCUCACUCUCUGUGUGUUUCGUCAAGGGGUGAACUGGGUAUGCUUGAUUAUUUUUACUUUAUUGUCUUAUUGUAAUUAUUACUGAGAUUUGUGGCUUUAUCAUUCUUACAUUCAUUGCUUUUUGUUGAUGAAUGUAAUCUGAUUUUGUAGGUCAAAGUUUUUCAAUAAGAAAAUUAAGCUGCUAUGAAUGAGUUUAUCCAACUUUAAUUAUUUUGGUCUGCGUUUCCUUUGUUUUUUGAAAUUAGAUAUUUUUGUAGAUAUUUUUCCUUAAAAUUGACCAAACUACUUAUACUUUUAUGCAUGCAUCAGCUAUGGCUCAAUGGUUUAAAAAUUAAAAAACCAGAAAGAUGGUUAUUCUAGCUUUCUAACCAGGUUUGUAUCUAUUUUUAUUUUUAUUUUUUGCAAUGCUCCUCUGCACUACAAGGUCUCUCUCUCUC